UACGAGGGGUGCAAGCGUUGUUCGGAAUUACUGGGCGUAAAGCGUGAGGAGGCGGCUUGUUAAGUCUGAUGUGAAAGCCCUGGGCUUAACCCAGGAACUGCAUCGGAAACUAGCAGGCUAGAGUUCGGGAGAGGGCCGUGGAAUUCUUGGUGUAGAGGUGAAAUUCGUAGAUAUCAAGAGGAACACCGGUGGCGAAGGCGGCGACCUGGACCGACACUGACGCUAAUACACGAAAGCGUGGGGAGCAAACAGG
RNAcentral lists this ribosomal RNA (253 nucleotides) under uncultured bacterium. Its description in RNAcentral is "partial 16S ribosomal RNA". It matches the Rfam family "Bacterial small subunit ribosomal RNA", at positions 524 to 776 of the family's 1533-position model. The record is from RNAcentral.